This 496-nucleotide ribosomal RNA is filed under the name uncultured bacterium. RNAcentral describes it as "partial 16S ribosomal RNA". It matches the Rfam family "Bacterial small subunit ribosomal RNA", at positions 28 to 506 of the family's 1533-position model. The record is from RNAcentral.
GAUGAACGCUGGCGGCGUGCCUAAUACAUGCAAGUCGAGCGAACAGACGAGGAGCUUGCUCCUCUGACGUUAGCGGCGGACGGGUGAGUAACACGUGGAUAACCUACCUAUAAGACUGGGAUAACUUCGGGAAACCGGAGCUAAUACCGGAUAAUAUAUUGAACCGCAUGGUUCAAUAGUGAAAGACGGUUUUGCUGUCACUUAUAGAUGGAUCCGCGCCGCAUUAGCUAGUUGGUAAGGUAACGGCUUACCAAGGCAACGAUGCGUAGCCGACCUGAGAGGGUGAUCGGCCACACAGGAACUGAGACACGGCCCAGACUCCUACGGGAGGCAGCAGUAGGGAAUCUUCCGCAAUGGGCGAAAGCCUGACGGAGCAACGCCGCGUGAGUGAUGAAGGUCUUCGGAUCGUAAAACUCUGUUAUUAGGGAAGAACAAAUGUGUAAGUAACUAUGCACGUCUUGACGGUACCUAAUCAGAAAGCCACGGCUAACUACGU